RNAcentral lists this non-coding RNA (905 nucleotides) under Calotomus carolinus (Caroline's parrotfish). Its description in RNAcentral is "partial 12S ribosomal RNA". It matches the Rfam family "Bacterial small subunit ribosomal RNA". RNAcentral also lists the same sequence under 1 other name. The record is from RNAcentral. Lineage: Eukaryota; Metazoa; Chordata; Actinopteri; Labriformes; Labridae.
CAAAGGUUUGGUCCCGGCCUUGCCAUCAGCUUUACCUGAACUUACACAUGCAAGUAUCCGCAUUCCCGUGAGGAUCCCCGCAGCCCCCCCCCCACGGGGGCACGGAGCUGGUAUCAGGCACAAACUAUUAGCCCAUGACACCUAGCCCAGCCACACCCCCAAGGGUAUUCAGCAGUGGUAAAUAUUAAGCUAUGAGUGAAAACUUGACUUAGUUAAAGGUAAGAGGGCUGGUAAAUUUCGUGCCAGCCACCGCGGUUACACGAGAAGCCCAAGUUGAUAAACAACGGCGUAAAGGGUGGUUAAGGGCUUUUAAAACUAGAGUCGAACUUUAUCAAGGCUGUUAUACGCAUACGAAAACAGAAGAUCAUCUACGAAAGUGACUCUAACUUUCCUGACACCACGAAAGCUAUGGAACAAACUGGGAUUAGAUACCCCACUAUGCAUAGCCGUAAACCUGACAGCUCAGUACAUUCGCUGUCCGCCCGGGGACUACAAGCACGAGCUUCAAACCCAAAGGACUUGACGGUGCUUCACAUCCACCUAGAGGAGCCUGUCCUAGAACCGAUACCCCCCGUUAAACCUCACCUUUUCUUGCCCAUCCCGCCUAUAUACCGCCGUCUUCUGCUUACCCUAUGAAGGACACAUAGUGAGCAUAAUUGGUUUUACCCUAAACGUCAGGUCGAGGUGUAGCGUAUGAGAAGGAAAGAGAUGGGCUACAUUCAAUGAAUCAUUGAAGUUUUCACGGAUAGUCAACUGAAAAACAAACUUUGAAGGAGGAUUUAGUAGUAAGCAGGGAAUAGAGAGCCCCACUGAAUUUGGCCCUGAAGCGCGUACACACCGCCCGUCACUCUCCCCGAGCAGUCGCAAACCUGUUCCUAAAACCCUGAGAACGCUAAGGGGAGGCA